This is a long non-coding RNA of Bactrocera tryoni, 1551 nucleotides long. RefSeq lists it as uncharacterized. The transcript has 2 exons. The record is from RefSeq and is a predicted model, not a curated record. NCBI's taxonomy places the organism in Eukaryota, Metazoa, Arthropoda, Insecta, Diptera, Tephritidae.
GUCAGCAAGAACAGCUGACUGAAAGCAAACAUGCGCAUUGCGUAAUCUCUUUCUCUAUCAUUCUUGAUGUAUAACUAUAAUAUAGUGCUUUCAAUUGUAUUGCGCAUUCAUCAUCCGUACGCAAUAUUUAUUAAAAAUUCCUUGCAUAAAUCUCACACAAUUCAACAAGAAAUGAAUAUGCUGUUAUUAUAAAAGUCAUUAAUUGUUUUACCGUGAUACGAAAAAUUGUAGUCGUAAAGUGUAGUUCCACAUAAAAAAAUUUAUUUGGAAAUAUUUUACAAUAAAUCCCUUGCUACUUUAAUAAAAUACUGUUAAUAGGGGUAUUCAGACCAGCCUUUUUAAUUCGUUAGUCGUUAUUCGGUAGUUUUUUACAUGUAUUUUGUUUUUGUAAAAUUAACAGACUAUCGUUCUACCGAGUAACGAACUAUCCAUCUGGCAAGCUUGGUAAUUGUUUCGUUACUCGUUAAUAUCACAUCAGCUGUUUGUUUGUUGUUCGUUGCUUUAUAUAUUUCUAAACGGGAAAAAUUAAUUUGGUGCUCACUUCGUGAAUUUGGAAAAAUUUUGCAAAAUGGAACCUCAAAAGAAAAUACGCAGGAGGGCAAAGCCUAAAAAAAAUGGAGUGAGGAGGAAAACCAUUUGGUUCUAGAAUAUUUAAUACGUCUUUUUAUAGAAACCAAACGCCCAAUUGUACUACCGAAAAUUAAUUCAAACAACAAAUAUCAAUGCGACUACGGACAUGUUGCGCUGCAAGGUCCGGUUCUGGAAGCAGAUGUAUAAUAAAGCAUAAGCACAGGUGCUGGAAUAGACGUUGGCGAUCAUGUUUCCUCAAUAAAAGGUAAAUACGGCUAUAAUGUUAAUUGAAACUUUUUUGGUUUUUUAAUAAUUCUCCGUUCUUUCCGCAAAACUUUCACAAAUGUGUCUGAAUUAUAAACGGUUUUCGGUUCUAUUUGGGAGUAAAUCCGAAGCCAAUUGUGUUGUAGACGUGCAACUCUGAAGUGUCACAAUACUGCAGCGAUUUUGCAGACCUUGUAGAGGUAGUGGAAAAUCCAGCCGAAUCAUCACAAUUAUCUGCGGAAACAUCGGGUUCUCUUAACGACAAAGCAGAACAGACAACAGUAGGAGAAGAGGUAGCAACAGUUCCUCCUACCAUACCAUCGUUCCUCGAAAAAGUGAAAAAACGUGCUCCAAAGAAUAUACAAAAGAAAAGAGAACAGUUUUUUGAGCAACGAAUAGAAAUUGAAAAAGAAAAGUUAAAGCUAGAAUUGGACAGAGAAAAGUUAAAUAAAGAUUUUGAAAUAAAAAAAUUGGAGUUAGAGCAAAAAGAAAGACUCGCACUGAUUGAAAUAACGUACAAAUAUAAUAUAUAACAAUUUUAUAUGUUUUGUAUAAUAAUAUUUAAGAAUGUUUGUGUAAUAAGAAUGAAUUUUAUAUGCAAUUGCUAUGUUGGGUAACAUUUAGAUUAGCAUCCCCGGAUUUCGGGGAUAAAAUGGGUGUCACUGGAAAGGUGGCGUUCUCCAGAUCUCGAAAAUAUAUACAUUUAGUUGCCGCUGA